Nerophis ophidion (straightnose pipefish) is the source of this 674-nucleotide long non-coding RNA. RefSeq lists it as uncharacterized. The transcript has 2 exons. The record is from RefSeq and is a predicted model, not a curated record. NCBI's taxonomy places the organism in Eukaryota, Metazoa, Chordata, Actinopteri, Syngnathiformes, Syngnathidae.
ACGACGAAGUGAAAGACGAUGAACUUUGCUUAAACAGUCUUACAAAGUUGGAAGAUGAUUAUCGAGGUGUGUUUAAACCUUCGAAUUAUUUAAUAUUGUGUGUAUUCAUUAUUUUGUUUUAUAGAGGAUUUGCCGUAAGAUCCUAACGCGAUCGUUUUAACACAAUCGCAGUCUGGUGAGUCAAAUGAUUCUCAUUUUACAAGAAAAAAAACAUGCGGUAUACGAUACAUAUAUACAUAUAUUUACUUACAUCUCCGGCUCGCUGGUCUCCCUUAAAGCUGGCGGGUCCGUCAACGGCCGUUCCAGGCAGAGGAGAAGGCUUGAUUGUGCCAAAGACUCCAGACAUCGAAUCCUUGCUCCGAGGGGAAAUCAUCGAAAACGACGGUGAAUGUCCGACAGGCACCCGCUAUUGGUAACACUGGACAAGUCGGAUAUCCUUGCUUGGAUCCUUUUAAAGUUGCCCGAUAAACUGCUGAGAGUUGAUCUCUCCUCUUGUCCAAAGGUUUUUCGUUCAUUUUUACUUGUAAUACUGGCACUAGGGUUGAUGUAGUAGCUCCACAACAUAACCUUAAAGCCUGUGACUGGAUCCGGUCUAUUUUCCCAAGUCAUGUUUUUGAAGCAGAUUGGUAAAUAAUGCAUCCGUAAUCAAUAACAGAUGGAAUUAAAGUUAUAAA